This 85-nucleotide transfer RNA is filed under the name Felis catus (domestic cat). It matches the Rfam family "tRNA". From Rfam's summary of the family: Transfer RNA (tRNA) molecules are approximately 80 nucleotides in length. Their secondary structure includes four short double-helical elements and three loops (D, anti-codon, and T loops). Lineage: Eukaryota; Metazoa; Chordata; Mammalia; Carnivora; Felidae. The record is from Rfam by way of RNAcentral.
GCCUGGGUGGCUCAGUUGGUAGAGCGCCUGACUUCAGCUCAGGUCAUGAUCUUGCAGUCUGUGAGUUCGAGCCCCACGUUGGGCU